Molecule: ribosomal RNA, 346 nt
Filed under: uncultured bacterium
Lineage: Bacteria
Description: partial 16S ribosomal RNA
Rfam family: Bacterial small subunit ribosomal RNA
Source: RNAcentral
CCUACGGGAGGCAGCAGUGAGGAAGAUUGGUCAAUGGCCGGAAGGCUGAACCAGCCAUGCCGCGUGAAGGGCAGGGACCUAGGGGCGGUAAACGUCUUUUGUGCGGGAGCAAGAAUGGGCACGUGUGGCCAGACGAGAGUACCGUACGAAUAAGCAGCGGCGAACCCCGGGCCAGCAGCCGCGGUAAGACGGGGGAUGCAAGCGUUCUCCGGAUUUAGUGGGUUUAAAGGGGGCGUAGGCUGGGAGGUAAGUCAGCGGUGAAAUGCCCCCGCUCAACGGGGUGAAGGGCCAUUGAUACUGCCUUGCUGGACUGCGGCUGCCGUGGGCGGAAUGUGUGGUGUAGCGG